This 497-nucleotide ribosomal RNA is filed under the name uncultured bacterium. RNAcentral describes it as "partial 16S ribosomal RNA". It matches the Rfam family "Bacterial small subunit ribosomal RNA", at positions 28 to 507 of the family's 1533-position model. The record is from RNAcentral.
GAUGAACGCUGGCGGCGUGCCUAAUACAUGCAAGUCGAGCGAACAGACGCUGAGCUUGCUCCUUUGACGUUAGCGGCGGACGUGUGACUAACACGUGGGUCCCCUACCUCUAAGACUGGGAUAACUUCGUGAAACCGGAUCUAAUACCGGCUAAUUUUUCGAACCGCAUGGUUCGAUAGUUCCAGCUGGCUUUGCUAUCCCUUCUAGCUGGCCCUGGGUCGUCUUAGUUAGUUGGUAAGGUAACGGCUUACCAAGGCGACGAUACGUAGCCGACCUGAGAGGGGGAACGGCGACAGUGGAAGUGAGAGACGGUCCAGACACCUAGGGGAGGCAGCAGUAGGGAAUCUGGGGCAAUGGGCGAAAGCCUGACGGAGCAACGCCGGGUGGGUGAAGAAGGGCUUCGGAUCGUAAAACGCUGUUAUUAGGGAAGAACGAACGUGGAAGGAACUGUGCACGUCGUGACGGUACCUAAAGAGAAAGCCACGGCUAACUACGUG